ACCCUUUUAGCUCAUCGGUAGAGCGCUGGUUUUGAGAGCCACAAGUCUGCGGAUCGAGCCCAACAGGG
This is a non-coding RNA of Phytophthora infestans T30-4, 68 nucleotides long. The record is from the annotation of a RefSeq genome assembly. Lineage: Eukaryota; Oomycota; Peronosporomycetes; Peronosporales; Peronosporaceae.